Alosa sapidissima (American shad) is the source of this 174-nucleotide long non-coding RNA. RefSeq lists it as uncharacterized. The transcript is spliced from 4 exons. NCBI's taxonomy places the organism in Eukaryota, Metazoa, Chordata, Actinopteri, Clupeiformes, Clupeidae. The record is from RefSeq and is a predicted model, not a curated record.
GUCUAUGGAGGCUGGACUCUUUUUGAUUGACAGCAUAUGUCGCGAUCUGACAGGAAGUGGUUCAAGUUCAAGGGAUGCAUUAACGUUAGUGUUGGCAGGUGAAGUCGAGAGGCAAGGCAAGUUGCAGCUCAAAUUCUCAUAAUUUGUGAGCAAUACAGUCAUUUUCUAUUUGUC